GACGUAGGGCGCGAGCGUUGUCCGGAUUUAUUGGGCGUAAAGAGCUCGUAGGCGGCUUGUCGCGUCGUUCGUGAAAACCUGCAGCUCAACUGCAGGCUUGCGGUCGAUACGGGCAGGCUAGAGUUCGGUAGGGGAGACUGGAAUUCCUGGUGUAGCGGUGAAACGCGCAGAUAUCGGGAGGAACACCAGUGGCGAAGGCGGCUUCCUGGCCUGUUCUUGACGCUGAGGCGCGAAAGCUAGGGGAGCAAACGGG
Molecule: ribosomal RNA, 253 nt
Filed under: uncultured bacterium
Lineage: Bacteria
Description: partial 16S ribosomal RNA
Rfam family: Bacterial small subunit ribosomal RNA
Source: RNAcentral